This 404-nucleotide unclassified non-coding RNA is filed under the name soil metagenome. Its description in RNAcentral is "partial contains 5.8S ribosomal RNA, internal transcribed spacer 2, and large subunit ribosomal RNA". The stretch from base 1 to 121 matches the Rfam family "5.8S ribosomal RNA", at positions 35 to 154 of the family's 154-position model. The record is from RNAcentral.
GAUGAAGAACGUAGCGAAAUGCGAUAAGUAAUGUGAAUUGCAGAAUUCAGUGAAUCAUCGAAUCUUUGAACGCACCUUGCGCCCUUUGGCUAUUCCGAAGGGCAUGCCUGUUUGAGUAUCAUGAACACCUCAACUCUCAUGGUUUGCCAUGAUGAGCUUGGACUUUGGGGGUCUUGCCGGCCUAUGGGUCGGCUCCUCUCAAAUUAAUCAGCUUGCCAGUGGUUGGUGGCAUCACAGGUGUGAUAACUAUCUACGCUUGUGGUUUUCCAUCAGGUAACCUUCAGUGAUGGAGGUUCGCUGGGGCUCAUAAAUGUCUCUCCUCAGUGAGGACAGCUUUUUUGAACGUUUGAUCUCAAAUCAGGUAGGACUACCCGCUGAACUUAAGCAUAUCAAUAAGCGGAGGA